RNAcentral lists this ribosomal RNA (788 nucleotides) under uncultured soil bacterium. RNAcentral's name for it is "bacterial SSU rRNA". It matches the Rfam family "Bacterial small subunit ribosomal RNA", at positions 8 to 785 of the family's 1533-position model. The record is from RNAcentral.
AGAGUUUGAUCCUGGCUCAGAUUGAACGCUGGCGGCAUGCCUUACACAUGCAAGUCGAACGGCAGCAUGAUCUAGCUUGCUAGAUUGAUGGCGAGUGGCGAACGGGUGAGUAAUACAUCGGAACGUGCCCUGUAGUGGGGGAUAACUAGUCGAAAGAUUAGCUAAUACCGCAUACGACCUGAGGGUGAAAGUGGGGGACCGCAAGGCCUCAUGCUAUAGGAGCGGCCGAUGUCUGAUUAGCUAGUUGGUGAGGUAAAGGCUCACCAAGGCGACGAUCAGUAGCUGGUCUGAGAGGACGAUCAGCCACACUGGGACUGAGACACGGCCCAGACUCCUACGGGAGGCAGCAGUGGGGAAUUUUGGACAAUGGGCGAAAGCCUGAUCCAGCAAUGCCGCGUGUGUGAAGAAGGCCUUCGGGUUGUAAAGCACUUUUGUCCGGAAAGAAAUGGCUCUGGUUAAUACCUGGGGUCGAUGACGGUACCGGAAGAAUAAGGACCGGCUAACUACGUGCCAGCAGCCGCGGUAAUACGUAGGGUCCAAGCGUUAAUCGGAAUUACUGGGCGUAAAGCGUGCGCAGGCGGUUGUGCAAGACCGAUGUGAAAUCCCCGAGCUUAACUUGGGAAUUGCACUGGUGACUGCACGGCUAGAGUGUGUCAGAGGGGGGUAGAAUUCCACGUGUAGCAGUGAAAUGCGUAGAGAUGUGGAGGAAUACCGAUGGCGAAGGCAGCCCCCUGGGAUAACACUGACGCUCAUGCACGAAAGCGUGGGGAGCAAACAGGAUUAGAUAC